UCAUAUCACAUUAAAACUCCAGUUCUUGUCAGAUCACUGAAGUUAAGCAAUGUUAAACUUGGUCAGUACCUAGAUGGGUGACUGCUUGAAAAUACCAGGUGCUGUAAG
Acanthosepion pharaonis is the source of this 108-nucleotide non-coding RNA. Lineage: Eukaryota; Metazoa; Mollusca; Cephalopoda; Sepiida; Sepiidae. The record is from the annotation of a GenBank genome assembly.